UACCAGCUCUCCGAGUGGUGUGGAUGUUUAUUGGGCCUAAAGCAUCCGUAGCUGGCUGGGCAAGUCCCCUGUUAAAUCCACCGAUUUAAUCGUUGGAGUGCGGGGGAUACUGUUCGGCUAGGGGACGGGAGAGGCAGACGGUAUUUUCGGGGUAGGGGUGAAAUCCUAUAAUCCCGGGAAGACCACCAGUGGCGAAGGCUGUCUGCUAGAACGCGCCCGACGGUGAGGGAUGAAAGCUGGGGGAGCGAACCGGAUUAGAUACCCGGGUAGUCCCAGCUGUAAACGAUGCAGGCUAGGUGUUUGGGCGGCCACGUGCCGCUCUAGUGCCACAGGGAAGCCGUUAAGCCUGCCGCCUGGGGAGUACGGCCGCAAGGCUGAAACUUAAAGGAAUUGGCGGGGGAGCACCACAAGGGGUGAAGCUUGCGGUUU
This 429-nucleotide ribosomal RNA is filed under the name uncultured archaeon. RNAcentral describes it as "bacterial SSU rRNA". It matches the Rfam family "Archaeal small subunit ribosomal RNA", at positions 474 to 903 of the family's 1478-position model. The record is from RNAcentral.